UCCCUUUAACUUAAAUCCUCCUGGUCUUCCCCUUCUAACCUAAAUCGAUCUACAGAACUCAGAGAAGAAGUCAUUUUAGAGUUAAUGUGUUUUAUUACCGCACGAACUGCAGACAAAUUAACUAGUUAAAUUAUAAAUGUUGUUAAUAGCCAGGCGCUCUGUUUUCUCUCACUCUCGCCUUAUCUAUUAUUUGAAAACUUGAUAUGUCAGAAGGCAGUUGUUAAUUGAAGAGGAACUGUCUUUGUGGAGAAAUUGCUAGCAAUUUUACCUCGCGACUCCUUUAAAUCCUGGGAGGAGAUUCUAUAAUUCCCUAAACCAGAAGUAAGUGAUUAUAUAUUGGUCUUGUUUGAAUUGUCCUUUUGUUUGACUAAUUCGUUUUGCUGAUGUUCAUAAGUAAUUUUUUUCGGAUUGUUUUUUGGGGUAGUUCAUGUGGUUAUAAGAAUGGGCAAAGGAUCCUGUCCCGGACAGAGUGCUCGUUGUAAUCAACUUGAUGUGUGAGUUGGAUGUAGCUAAUCUCUAAAUGAAUAAGUUAUAUAUAAGAUGAUGUAUCUUACUAUUUAAAUCUAUUUGUUCCUACUUUUUUUAUUAUGGCUGGUUAUAAAUAUAUUUGCAAUGUUAUAAAUUUUGGUUCUUUGGACGCUUAAAAAAUGAUGCCUUAGGGAUGAGUGUAGCAGCCUAUAUCAAUCACUAAAUAAAGGCUAAAUUUACUGCUGAACAUAUGCUGAAGACAACCAUAUGUUUAUAUUCUGAAGACAACUUAAUAUUCAAUGUGUUCAAUAACUGAACAUAUAUCUCCCUAUAUCAUAAAU
Molecule: long non-coding RNA, 809 nt
Filed under: Nicotiana benthamiana
Lineage: Eukaryota; Viridiplantae; Streptophyta; Magnoliopsida; Solanales; Solanaceae
Description: long non-coding RNA (NBEN_LNC014446)
Source: RNAcentral